AUACGGAGGAUCCAAGCGUUAUCCGGAUUUAUUGGGUUUAAAGGGAGCGUAGGCGGAUUAUUAAGUCAGUUGUGAAAGUUUGCGGCUCAACCGUAAAAUUGCAGUUGAUACUGGUAGUCUUGAGUGCAGCAGAGGUAGGCGGAAUUCGUGGUGUAGCGGUGAAAUGCUUAGAUAUCACGAAGAACUCCGAUUGCGAAGGCAGCUUACUGGACUGUAACUGACGCUGAUGCUCGAAAGUGUGGGUAUCAAACAGGAUUAGAUACCCUGGUAGUCCACACAGUAAACGAUGAAUACUCGCUGUUUGCGAUAUACAGCAAGCGGCCAAGCGAAAGCAUUAAGUAUUCCACCUGGGGAGUACGCCGGCAACGGUGAAACUCAAAUGAAUUGGCGGGG
RNAcentral lists this ribosomal RNA (393 nucleotides) under uncultured bacterium. Its description in RNAcentral is "partial 16S ribosomal RNA". It matches the Rfam family "Bacterial small subunit ribosomal RNA", at positions 523 to 918 of the family's 1533-position model. The record is from RNAcentral.